GGGCACGUGCUCCACCUAGUUGUAACGUAGGUCCGCCACUGAGUCAUCUUGUUAAAUUUUGUUUUUACUAAUUUAAAACAAUAAAAAUAUUCAUGCCCUCAUUUUCUCAUUAAUACCACGACUUUAUAGUUUAUAGUUUAUAUAUUAGUAAUGAUAUUAAUCAGUUUGUUAUGUUGCUACUUGCUAGGUGUCAUGGGUCAUCAUAAAAUAUAUUGAUGGAAGAUUGAUUGAUUUGAAUCUAUAAACCUAACCCACACGAUCGAAUCGAAUGAGAAAUAACAAGAAUCGUCCAUCGAAAAGAACUUAAUCAGAAACGUUAUCCGAUUAGAAACAUUACCAUUUGAUUAGUUUAUGCAGUUAAGUUUGACUUGUGCCCACUCCACAAACUU
Long non-coding RNA from Arabidopsis thaliana (thale cress), 389 nucleotides. RefSeq annotates it as other RNA. The transcript has a single exon. The record is from RefSeq. Lineage: Eukaryota; Viridiplantae; Streptophyta; Magnoliopsida; Brassicales; Brassicaceae.